GUGAUGAAGGGCUCUUAGCGGUUGUAAAGCUCUGUUCUUGACUAACAAACAAAUGAGUCGUCAAGGAGAAAGGACCGGCUAAUUUCGUGCCAGCAGCUGCGGUAAGACGAGGGGUCCAAACGUUGUCCGGAAUUAUUGGGCGUAAAGCGGGUGUAGGUGGUUUUAUAAGUCAGAAGUGAAAGCCUUAGGCUCAACCUAAGAAGUGCUUUUGAUACUGUAGAACUUGAGUUUGGAAGGGGGCAAUGGAAUUCCUAGUGUAGUGGUGAAAUGCGUAGAUAUUAGGAGGAAUACCGGAGGCGAAGGCGGUUGCCUGGUCCAAAACUGACACUGAGAUCCGAAAGCGUGGGGAGCAAACAGGAUUAGAUGCCCUGGUAGUCCACGCCGUAAACGAUGGACACUUGAUGUUGAUGGAUUUGACCCCAUCAGUGUCGUAGCUAACGCGUUAAGUGUCCCGCCUGGGGAGUACGAUCGCAAGAUUAAAACUCAAAGAAAUCGACGGGGGCCCGCACAAGCGGUGGAGCAUGUGGUUUAAUUCGAUGAUACGCGAAAAACCUUACCUAGGUUUGACAUCCAGAGGAAGAUUCCUUGGAAA
This 592-nucleotide ribosomal RNA is filed under the name uncultured delta proteobacterium. RNAcentral's name for it is "bacterial SSU rRNA". It matches the Rfam family "Bacterial small subunit ribosomal RNA", at positions 405 to 1006 of the family's 1533-position model. The record is from RNAcentral. Lineage: Bacteria; Deltaproteobacteria.